RNAcentral lists this ribosomal RNA (253 nucleotides) under uncultured bacterium. RNAcentral's name for it is "partial 16S ribosomal RNA". It matches the Rfam family "Bacterial small subunit ribosomal RNA", at positions 524 to 776 of the family's 1533-position model. The record is from RNAcentral.
UACGUAGGGUCCGAGCGUUGUCCGGAAUUAUUGGGCGUAAAGGGCUCGUAGGCGGUUCGUCACGUCGGGAGUGAAAACUCGGAGCUUAACUCCGAGCCUGCUUCCGAUACGGGCAGACUAGAGGUAGGCAGGGGAGAGCGGAACUCCUGGUGUAGCGGUGGAAUGCGCAGAUAUCAGGAAGAACACCGGUGGCGAAGGCGGCUCGCUGGGCAGUAACUGACGCUGAGGAGCGAAAGCGUGGGGAGCGAACAGG